GAUGAACGCUGGCGGCGUGCCUAAUACAUGCAAGUCGAGCGAACAGAUGAGGAGCUUGCUCCUCUGACGUUAGCGGCGGACGGGUGAGUAACACGUGGAUAACCUACCUAUAAGACUGGGAUAACUUCGGGAACCCGGAGCUAAUACCGGAUAAUAUAUUGAACCGCAUGGUUCAAUAGUGAAAGACGGUUUUGCUGUCACUUAUAGAUGGAUCCGCGCCGCAUUAGCUAGUUGGUAAGGUAACGGCUUACCAAGGCAACGAUGCGUAGCCGACCUGAGAGGGUGAUCAGCCACACUGGAACUGAGACACGGUCCAGACUCCUACGGGAGGCAGCAGUAGGGAAUCUUCCGCAAUGGGCGAAAGCCUGACGGAGCAACGCCGCGUGAGUGAUGAAGGUCUUCGGAUCGUAAAACUCUGUUAGUAGGGAAGAACGAAAGUGUAAGUAACUAUGCACGUCUUGACGGUACCUAAUGAGAAAGCCACGGCUAACUACGUG
RNAcentral lists this ribosomal RNA (497 nucleotides) under uncultured bacterium. Its description in RNAcentral is "partial 16S ribosomal RNA". It matches the Rfam family "Bacterial small subunit ribosomal RNA", at positions 28 to 507 of the family's 1533-position model. The record is from RNAcentral.